UUGGAGGGCAAGUCUGGUGCCAGCAGCCGCGGUAAUUCCAGCUCCAAUAGCGUAUAUUAAAGUUGUUGCAGUUAAAAAGCUCGUAGUUGAAUUUCGGGGUUAGUAGGCUGGUCAUGCCACCGGUAUGUACUGGUCUUUCUGAUUCCUCCUUCCUGAUGAACUGUAAUGCCAUUAAUUUGGUGUUGCAGGGAAUCUGGACUGUUACUUUGAAAAAUUAGAGUGUUUAAAGCAGGCUAACGCUUGAAUACAUUAGCAUGGAAUAAUGAAAAUAGGGACGUC
Molecule: ribosomal RNA, 279 nt
Filed under: Rhizophagus intraradices
Lineage: Eukaryota; Fungi; Glomeromycota; Glomeromycetes; Glomerales; Glomeraceae
Description: partial small subunit ribosomal RNA
Rfam family: Eukaryotic small subunit ribosomal RNA
Source: RNAcentral